This 426-nucleotide ribosomal RNA is filed under the name uncultured bacterium. RNAcentral describes it as "bacterial SSU rRNA". It matches the Rfam family "Bacterial small subunit ribosomal RNA", at positions 354 to 796 of the family's 1533-position model. The record is from RNAcentral.
GUGAGGAAUAUUGCUCAAUGGGCGAAAGCCUGAAGCAGCAACGCCGCGUGCGCGAUGAAGGCCUUCGGGUCGUAAAGCGCUUUUGAGAGGGACGAGAUAGGACGGUACCUCUGGAAUAAGUCACGGCUAACUACGUGCCAGCAGCCGCGGUAAAACGUAGGUGGCAAGCGUUAUCCGGAUUCACUGGGCGUAAAGCGCGUGCAGGUGGCUUCGUAAGUUGGACGUUAAAUCUCCCGGCCUAACCGGGAGGGGUCGUUCAAUACUGCGGGGCUGGAGGGCAGAAGAGGGGGGUGGAAUUGCUGGUGUAGUGGUGAAAUGCGUAGAUAUCAGCAGGAACACCCGUGGCGAAAGCGGCCCCCUGGUCUGCUCCUGACACUCAGACGCGAAAGCUAGGGGAGUGAACGGGAUUAGAUACCCGAGUAGUCC